This is a non-coding RNA of Rattus norvegicus (Norway rat), 1547 nucleotides long. NCBI's taxonomy places the organism in Eukaryota, Metazoa, Chordata, Mammalia, Rodentia, Muridae. The record is from RefSeq and is a predicted model, not a curated record.
AGAGCUGGAAAAGAGAGAGGGUCCAGAUGAAAUCAGAGAAGGAGGCAAAAGCAGGAGUCAAAACCGUAUCGCAUCACGUUAUUAGCACGGUGAGGACAGAAGGCAACUCCCGGAAGUCGGAAGUCUACACUGAUUGGGCCUUCUCAAAGAGAAGGAAGUGGAUCUCACAUCAAAGUAAGCAAUGGGAAAAGCCUGAUGUCAAACUCCGUGCUCUUGCAACAACUGGACAGGAACAGAGUAACAUCCCCACAGUCAAUGGCAGACUGUCCAGAAAGACGCCCAAGCCAUAACUGACUACAUCAGAAAGAUCUAGAAGAUACCAAAAAAAAGAUUGCUUAAGAGAAUAUCGUUCAUGGAACCCUGUGGAAGAGGACACAGAAAGAUUGUAAGAGCCCAAGGGAGGGAUGUCUCCAACAGGACUGAUGUGUAUAUGAGCUCACAGAGACUGAUGGCACUCACUAGAGCUACACGGGUUCAAAAUGGACAAAAUCCAGCACAGAGAAUGGGAGGUGGGCAGAGUCCCACCUGUAACUCAAAAGAAAAUUUCUAACCUGAGUUUGGUCAAAUGUCUGGAUCCAGUGUUCAAAGAAUGCAGAAGACAGAGGACCAUGAUGGACUGGCUUACAAACAAAGCUACAUGAGAGACACUCAAAGUGAUGACCCAGGUUCUUCAGCUGAUUCAUUGUGGAGACAAUAAACAUUUGGUCCAGACUAAACUAUAGAGUGUAAAGAUUGAAAUAUAAAGUAUAAGGCAGAAAUAUGGAUGAUGAGGUGAUACAAAACCAUAAAGAGAACGUGACUGUAAGCCAACGAGUGGUCAAGUCUAGGCUUAUGUUGAACAUCUGACCCCUGGCUUCGGAUCUUGCCACCAUGCCUUACUCUACCAUCAUGGACUCCAAACCUCUGUAGCCAUAAGCCCAAGUAAACUCUUCCCCAACUAGCCUUGAUAUGGUGUUUUAUCACACCAAUAGAAAAGUAACAGAUAAAAUGGGCAAUGACCAUGAUGUGUUCCUAACCGGUAUGGUGAAAGACGGUGAAGAAAUGAAAUCAGAUGGAGGUUUAAGGCUGAGGUAGAGAUGAGGAAGACACGCUAUGAAACAAAACCAGCAUCUUCUUGACAGUUCUGGUGUGCUAUUUCAGUAAAUGGAGAAGUAAGACUGAGCGCGGCGAUGGUGACAACGAUGAUGAAGGAGAUGAUGCUGAUGCAGAAGAUGAUGCUGAUGCUGGUGAUGACAGUCAUUGGGAUGUACCUAGCAUUGACCAUGGGGCAGACGCCAUGCUCAGCGUUUCCUCUGCAUCAUUACAUAAUGUAAUAUAUCUCCUCACAGCGGCUCAGGGAGAUAAGCAUUAUAUUCAUCUGAAAGUUUAAAAUGCUAGGACAGGGGAUGUAGGGUGCCCUGUGGCACAGCACCCGCCUAGCAUGUGCAGAUGUGUGAGGUCCUUGGGUUUGAUCCCCAGCAUCACAAGGACCAACCAAUCAACCCAACAAGUGAACGGCAGCUCAGCGAUUUGUCUAAAACUGCACAGAUAGUAAAUGAUGAAGUCCA